GGCAGGAUCAGUGAUGACUGACACCAUGGCAUGGUCCCCUCUCCUCUUCACUUUCCUCGCUCAUUGCACAGGUUCCUGGGCUCAGUCUGUGCUGACUCAGCCACCCUCUGUGUCUGGGGCCCUGGGCCAGAUGGUCACCAUCUCCUUCACUGGAAGCAGCUCCAACAUUGGGAGUGCUUUUUAUGUGCACUGGUACCAAAAACUUCCAGGAAGAGCCCCCGGAACCAUCAUCCAUGGUGAUAGACGACGACCCUCUGGGGGGUCGUCUGAUCGAUUCUCUGGCUCCAAGUCUGGCAGCUCAGUCACACUGACUAUCACUGCAGUCCAGGCUGAAGACGAGGCUGAUUACUAUUGUCAGUCCUAUGACAGCAAUCAUGACCUUCUUUUUUAA
Non-coding RNA from Lutra lutra (Eurasian river otter), 391 nucleotides. NCBI's taxonomy places the organism in Eukaryota, Metazoa, Chordata, Mammalia, Carnivora, Mustelidae. The record is from the annotation of a RefSeq genome assembly.